GAUGAAGAACGUAAGCGAAAUGCGAUACGUAAUGUGAAUUGCAGAAUUCAGUGAAUCAUCGAGUCUUUGAACGCACAUUGCGCCCCCUGGUAUUCCGGGGGGCAUGCCUGUCCGAGCGUCAUUGCUGCCCUCAAGCACGGCUUGUGUGUUGGGCCUCCGUCCUCCUCCCGGGGGACGGGCCCGAAAGGCAGCGGCGGCACCGCGUCCGGUCCUCGAGCGUAUGGGGCUUCGUCACCCGCUCUUGUAGGCCCGGCCGGCGCUUGCCGACACAUCAAUCUUUUUUCCAGGUUGACCUCGGAUCAGGUAGGGAUACCCGCUGAACUUAAGCAUAUCAAUAAGCGGAGGA
Molecule: unclassified non-coding RNA, 346 nt
Filed under: soil metagenome
Description: partial contains 5.8S ribosomal RNA, internal transcribed spacer 2, and large subunit ribosomal RNA
Rfam family: 5.8S ribosomal RNA (bases 1-121)
Source: RNAcentral